AUGCCAACAACGCCGGAUCGACGAAAGCUACGGCACACCGCGAUCGUUGCGCCCACCGAAGAUAACCACCACGCUCCAAAGCCACCGAGUUGCCGUGUACCAAGCACCACCUUCAAGAAGGAAUGCGACGAUGACGACGCUGCUGCCCGGACGAGUCCUAGGAUUUCUCCCGGUACACGGAGGGUAGAGGGGGGAGAGGGUCACCCGACGCCCUUCAAGAAGGAUGGUGGCGCCCGCAGGCGUCACCGCGUUGGUGCCGGCAAGACCCGACAUGGAUUUCUCCCGACCUCUCGCGCCCACCACCCAGGACCAACCUUCGGCUCCACCACACCCGCCGCCCACCAACAUGCGCCAACAGUCAUGAGGACACCGCCGUCGUCUCACCACGGCCAACGAAGCGAGGCCGGCCGGAUCCAAAUGAGACACCCGAAGACAAGGACCGGCAGCACCGCAGCCACGAGGGAGGGAACAACCUCCACCGGCUUAGGCGGUAGCAGACCGGGCAUAGCAGCAGAGGCACACCAGACCCCCUGUCCGGCCAGGCCCUGCGUGGGCCCGUGA
Molecule: ribosomal RNA, 561 nt
Filed under: Triticum aestivum (bread wheat)
Lineage: Eukaryota; Viridiplantae; Streptophyta; Magnoliopsida; Poales; Poaceae
Description: partial small subunit ribosomal RNA
Source: RNAcentral